CUACGGGGUGCUGCAGUGAGGAAUUUUGCGCAAUGGGGGAAACCCUGACGCAGCAACGCCGCGUGAGUGAUGAAGGCUUUCGGGUCGUAAAGCUCUGUCAAGUGGGAAGAACCUGCAGUAUGCUAAUAUCAUAUUGCACUGACGGUACCACUGAAGGAAGCACCGGCUAACUCCGUGCCAGCAGCCGCGGUAAUACGGGGGGUGCAAGCGUUAUUCGGAAUCAUUGGGCGUAAAGAGCACGUAGGCGGCCUGGUAAGUCAGAUGUGAAAGCCCUGGGCUUAACCCGGGAAGUGCAUUUGAUACUGUCAGGCUUGAGUGUGGGAGAGGGAGGUGGAGUUCCUGGUGUAGAGGUGAAAUUCGUAGAUAUCAGGAGGAACACCGGUGGCGAAGGCGACUUCCUGGACCAAUACUGACGCUGAGGUGCGAAGGCGUGGGUAGCAAACAGGAUUAGAUACCCGAGUAGUC
Molecule: ribosomal RNA, 465 nt
Filed under: uncultured bacterium
Lineage: Bacteria
Description: partial 16S ribosomal RNA
Rfam family: Bacterial small subunit ribosomal RNA
Source: RNAcentral